GGUUAGACGAAGAAUUCAAAUAGAAUUAAUGUUUAGUUUAGUUAACGUUGAGUUUUUUGAGUUAUUCUGGUUUUUUUAAUGGGUAAAAUCAAAAUAAAAAAUUGCUAUCUCUCAAAAUAAAUUAAAGGAACUAAAAAUCUCUGAUCAUAAACCAGGAUUAGAUACCCUGUUAUUCUGAGUUAUAAAAAGACAGGGUAGUAAAAGUUGUUCUUCAAACCCAAAGAUUUUGGCGGCACCUUAUCCAAAUAGAGGAGCUUGUCCCUUAAUCGAUAGUCCUCGUUUUAUCUUUCCUUUGCUUGUUUAGUUUGUAUACCGCCGUUGUCAGAUUACUUUUAGAGAAUGUUUUCAAAUUAAAGAAUUUUUUCACUUCAGGUCAAGGUGCAGUUUAUGUCAAGGUGGAGAUGAGCUACAAUUUUCUCUAGAAAGACGAAUGCUAAGUUUUGAACUUGGUUGAAGGUGGAUUUAUUAGUAAAGAAAUUUAAGUAAGAUUUCUUGAAUAGGGUAAUAAGGUGUGUACAUAUCGCCCGUC
This 529-nucleotide ribosomal RNA is filed under the name Daphnia sp. A. RNAcentral's name for it is "partial 12S ribosomal RNA". The record is from RNAcentral. Lineage: Eukaryota; Metazoa; Arthropoda; Branchiopoda; Diplostraca; Daphniidae.